This 201-nucleotide ribosomal RNA is filed under the name Triticum aestivum (bread wheat). RNAcentral's name for it is "partial small subunit ribosomal RNA". The record is from RNAcentral. Lineage: Eukaryota; Viridiplantae; Streptophyta; Magnoliopsida; Poales; Poaceae.
AUGGUUAAAGAAGAAAAAGAAGAAAACAUGGGUUCUGUUGAAUUUCAAGUAUUCAGUUUCACCAAUAAGAUACGGAGACUUGCUUACGGCGGGAGUCAUUGGUUCAAAUCCAAUAGUAGGGAGGCGCUCAACACAACGAACAAGGGGCAGGGUCGGUCAAAUCGUCUGCAGGUACAUAAACUACUUGAAUCGAAGUUAUAG